GGCCUCGUGGCCCAAUGGCAAGGCGUCUGACUACGAUCAUGAGUCAAGUUGCAGCAGCACGAUGUUCAUAUGAUAAUCAGGAGAUUCUGGGUUCGACCCCCAGCGAGGUCA
This is a non-coding RNA of Astrocystis sublimbata, 111 nucleotides long. The record is from the annotation of a GenBank genome assembly. NCBI's taxonomy places the organism in Eukaryota, Fungi, Ascomycota, Sordariomycetes, Xylariales, Xylariaceae.